RNAcentral lists this ribosomal RNA (265 nucleotides) under uncultured bacterium. RNAcentral describes it as "partial 16S ribosomal RNA". It matches the Rfam family "Bacterial small subunit ribosomal RNA", at positions 793 to 1055 of the family's 1533-position model. The record is from RNAcentral.
GUCCACGCUGUAAACGAUGAGAACUAGAUGUUGGGAGGGUUUUGCAUCUCAGUGUCGCAGCUAACGCGCUAAGUUAUCCGCCUGGGGAGUACGGCCGCAAGGUUGAAACUCAAAGGAAUUGACGGGGACCCCGCACAAGCGGUGGAGCAUGUGGUUUAAUUAGAUGCAACGCGAAGAACCUUACCUGGUCUUGACAUCCCAGGAACCUCGCAGAGAUGUGGGGGUGCCUUCGGGAACCUGGAGACAGGUGCUGCAUGGCUGUCGU